This 370-nucleotide ribosomal RNA is filed under the name uncultured organism. Its description in RNAcentral is "bacterial SSU rRNA". It matches the Rfam family "Bacterial small subunit ribosomal RNA", at positions 526 to 896 of the family's 1533-position model. The record is from RNAcentral.
CAGAGGGUGCAAGCGUUAAUCGGAAUUACUGGGCGUAAAGCGAGCGUAGUCGGUUAUUUAAGUCGGAUGUGAAAUCCCCGGGCUCAACCUGGGAAUUGCAUUCGAUACUGGAUAGCUAGAGUUCGGCAGAGGGAAGCGGAAUUUCUGGUGUAGCGGUGAAAUGCGUAGAUAUCAGAAGGAACAUCAGUGGCGAAAGCGGCUUCCUGGACCAGAACUGACGAUCAGGCUCGAAAGCGUGGGGAGCAAACAGGAUUAGAUACCCUGGUAGUCCACGCCAUAAACGAUGACAACUAGACGUUGGGGACAUAUGGUCCACAGUGUCGCAGCUAACGCGUUAAGUUGUCCGCCUGGGGAUACGGCCGCAAGGUUG